AAUUUAGAUAUGUAGCGCAUUGUGAUGGCCUUAACGGGUAUUGACACAAUGUGAUUUCUGCCUAGUGCUCUGAAUGCCACAGUGAAGAAAUUCAUGUAAGCGCGGGUAAACCGCGGGAGUGCCUAUGACUCCCUUAACUCUCGAGCUGAACGGACGUAUUAGCGGAUAGUUGCGAAAAAAUAAAAAAAUUAAUAUU
RNAcentral lists this non-coding RNA (196 nucleotides) under Glossina morsitans morsitans. Its description in RNAcentral is "eukaryotic large subunit ribosomal RNA". It matches the Rfam family "Eukaryotic large subunit ribosomal RNA", at positions 2144 to 2330 of the family's 3401-position model. The record is from RNAcentral. Lineage: Eukaryota; Metazoa; Arthropoda; Insecta; Diptera; Glossinidae.